Molecule: ribosomal RNA, 253 nt
Filed under: uncultured bacterium
Lineage: Bacteria
Description: partial 16S ribosomal RNA
Rfam family: Bacterial small subunit ribosomal RNA
Source: RNAcentral
UACGUAGGGUGCAAGCGUUAAUCGGAAUUACUGGGCGUAAAGCGUGCGCAGGCGGUUCUGUAAGACAGUUGUGAAAUCCCCGGGCUCAACCUGGGAACUGCAUCUGUGACUGCAUAGCUAGAGUACGGUAGAGGGGGAUGGAAUUCCGCGUGUAGCAGUGAAAUGCGUAGAUAUGCGGAGGAACACCGAUGGCGAAGGCAAUCCCCUGGACCUGUACUGACGCUCAUGCACGAAAGCGUGGGGAGCAAACAGG